RNAcentral lists this ribosomal RNA (742 nucleotides) under uncultured bacterium. RNAcentral's name for it is "bacterial SSU rRNA". It matches the Rfam family "Bacterial small subunit ribosomal RNA", at positions 8 to 796 of the family's 1533-position model. The record is from RNAcentral.
AGAGUUUGAUCCUGGCUCAGAGCGAACGCUGGCGGCAGGCCUAAAACAUGCAAGUCGAACGGACCCUUCGGGGUUAGUGGCGGACGGGUGAGUAACACGUGGGAACGUGCCCUUUGGUUCGGAACAACUCAGGGAAACUUGAGCUAAUACCGGAUGUGCCCUUCGGGGGAAAGAUUUAUCGCCAUUGGAGCGGCCCGCGUCUGAUUAGCUAGUUGGUAGGGUAAAAGCCUACCAAGGCUACGAUCAGUAGCUGGUCUGAGAGGAUGAUCAGCCACACUGGGACUGAGACACGGCCCAGACUCCCACGGGAGGCAGCAGUUAGGAAUCUUGCGCAAUGGGCGAAAGCCUGACGCAGCCAUGCCGCGUGAAUGAUGAAGGUCUUAGGAUUGUAAAAUUCUUUCAGCGGGGACGAUAAUGACGGUACCCGCAGAAGAAGCUCCGGCUAACUUCGUGCCAGCAGCCGCGGUAAUACGAAGGGGGCUAGCGUUGCUCGGAAUUACUGGGCGUAAAGGGCGCGUAGGCGGACAGUUUAGUCAGAGGUGAAAGCCCAGGGCUCAACCUUGGAACUGCCUUUGAUACUGGCUGUCUUGAGUUCGGGAGAGGUGUGUGGAACUCCGAGUGUAGAGGUGAAAUUCGUAGAUAUUCGGAAGAACACCAGUGGCGAAGGCGACACACUGGCCCGAUACUGACGCUGAGGCGCGAAAGCGUGGGGAGCAAACAGGAUUAGAUACCCUAGUAGUCC